This is a long non-coding RNA of Homalodisca vitripennis (glassy-winged sharpshooter), 1120 nucleotides long. RefSeq lists it as uncharacterized. The record is from RefSeq and is a predicted model, not a curated record. NCBI's taxonomy places the organism in Eukaryota, Metazoa, Arthropoda, Insecta, Hemiptera, Cicadellidae. The transcript is spliced from 2 exons.
AUAAACCUUCUCUGUGGAAAAAUAAAUAUACAUACAAAUUUUUAUAACGAUCUGUCAAAUAGUUUACGAUUCUAUAAAGGACAUACAGGCAAACAUUAUAUAUAGAUGAUUUACACUAAUGUUUUUACCACAUCUUAAUAUUAUAUAAUAUUAAAUAUUUACUAAAAACCAGACUUGUUUUGGAGGUUUAAUUAUUGGAAAACAGAAAAAAAAAUGUUGCUCUUACUAGAAAGAGAUAUGCAGCACCUAGUCGUGACUGAGAGCACCGGUCACUGGCGUAUCUGCGCUUUCAUUGGCUGUUGUUGGUGACGUGAUCUUGUACAGCUGUGCUGGAUACAUUUUUAGUUAACCAUUCAUACAUUGUUGAGACCACAUGUGUUUGUUUUUGAGUGCUUAAAUUUAUCAAAUUUUUGUUAAUAUUAAACUAUAUUUAUAAAUUAGAUAUCUGUCAAUAGACAGUACAUUUAAAAAUAAAAUACUCUUAUCAAAAUGGAAGAAUAAUUUUAGGAACGUAAGUCUGAGUCAUGGAUUUUAUGCAAACAGAAAGAGGUCAGGAAGGUUAUUAUAUUCUCUGAUAAAACUUUAAAUAACUGUCGAGUAGCAUUGAAAAUCCACCAAGAAUUGAAUUUGAAACAUAAUGAUGUGAUUUUACUAUCGCUAGUUUCUACUAAGGAGGGUUAUCAUCUGAAAUGUUACACCAAUUUCUCAAGAACAAUGCAAGAAAAAUUUGUCAACAAUGUAUCCAGAGACUUCUUCUCCAUCAGGCAUUUCUCCAUCAAGCAAGAAAGUUGUUGGAAGUGAGCAAACAGGGUUCCGCUUGAAGAGGAUGUUGGUUUCAACAGUGAAGAUUGCCAGUCUGCUGAAACUAUUGAGUCAGUCUGAAAGUUAAGGUCAGAAUUCUCAACAUACAACAGUGCAUCCUGAUGCAAUGUCUGAAAACACAGAUUUUUGUAAUUUUUUGCUCCAAAGUUCGCAAAACUUUAAAGGUCGGCAUGAACAAUUAUAUUACAUUCAAAAAGAUGCUCUUCUCAAAACUCUUGAACCAUACAUAGAAUCUCUAGAAGAAAAGGUUAUAUGUAAACCAUUAUAAAGCUUAAUAAAUUUUAAAACUCACAGUAAA